GGAAGGCAGCAGGCGCGUAAAUUACCCAAUCCUGACUCAGGGAGGUAGUGACAAGAAAUAACAGACCGGAGCCUCUGGUUCCGGGAUUGCAAUGAGUACAAUUUAGACUCCUUAACAAGUAACAAUUGGAGGGCAAGUCUGGUGCCAGCAGCCGCGGUAAUUCCAGCUCCAAUAGUGUAUAUUAAUGUUCCUGCAGUUAUUCGAUGCUCGUAGUUGGAUUUCUGGAGGCUGAGACAGGAGGGCAGCCAAGGUUGUCGCCAGUCUCUUCCUUCAUCCGCCUGUUAACGUUGUCCGGGAUUUAUUUCUCGGCUUCGGGCUCAGGUACUUUUUUUGUUUUACCCUUUCUUUAUAUUCAUUUAUUUAUCUUUAUUUUUUGAGCAAAUUAUAGUGUUUCAGGCAGGCGUGCGCCGGAAUACAUUAGCAUGGAAUAAUCGAAUUGGACCGUGUAUUCACUAUGUGAAUUCUUCCUUAUUUGUUGGUUCUAAGGACACGGAUAUGAUUAAUAGGGAUAGUAAUUUUCAGGGGAGGCAUUAGUAUUUAAUUUCCAGAGGUGAAAUUCUUUGAAAUAUUAAAGACUAACUUAUGCGAAAGCAUUUAUUUUGCCAAUAAUGUUUUCAUUAAUCAUUGAACGAAAGUUAGGGGAUCAAAGACGAUCAGAUACCGUCCUAGUCUUAACCAUAAACGUUGCCGACUAGGGAUCGGAGGGCGUGCACAUUCCGCCUUCGGCACCUUACGAGAAAUCAAAGUCUUUUGGGUUCUGGGGGUAGUAUGGUCGCAAGGCUGAAACUUAAAGGAAUUGACGGAAAGGCACCACAAGGCGUGGAGCCUGCGGCUUAAUUUGACUCAACACGGGAAAACUUACCAGGUCAGGACAUGUGAAGGAUUGACAGUCUGAGAGCACUUUCAUGAUUACAUGGGUGGUGGUGCAUGGCCGUUCUUAGUUGGUGGGUUGCCUUGUCAGGUUGAUUCCGGUAACGAACGAGACCUCAGCCUGCUAAAUAGUCACGUCUACCUCGGUAGGCGCCUGACUUCUUAGAGGGACUAUUGGCGUUUAGCCAAUGGAAGUGUGAGGCAAUAACAGGUCUGUGAUGCCCUUAGAUGUCCUGGGCCGCACGCGUGCUACACUGAUGCAUACAGCGAGCACUUCCCGGCCCCGAAAGGCGGCUGGUAAUCAGCAAUAUGCAUCGUGAUGGGGAUAGUUCUUUGGAAUUCUUGAACUUGAACGAGGAAUGCCUAGUAGGCGCAAGUCAUUACCUUGCGUCGAUUAAGUCCCUGCCCUUUGUACACACCGCCCGUCGCUCCUACCGAUUCGAGUGAUCCGGUGAACCUUUUGGACCGGAGCUGCUUGCAGUUCUGGAAAAUCAAGUAAACCACGUCACUUAGAGGAAGGAGAAGUCGUAACAAGGUUUCCGUAGGUGAACCUGCGGAAGGAUCAAU
Molecule: ribosomal RNA, 1437 nt
Filed under: Euplotes focardii
Lineage: Eukaryota; Ciliophora; Spirotrichea; Euplotida; Euplotidae
Description: partial Eukaryotic small subunit ribosomal RNA
Rfam family: Eukaryotic small subunit ribosomal RNA
Source: RNAcentral